AUCCAGCUGAUGAGUCCCAAAUAGGACGAAACGUGUGUUUGGAAU
Molecule: non-coding RNA, 45 nt
Filed under: Schistosoma margrebowiei
Lineage: Eukaryota; Metazoa; Platyhelminthes; Trematoda; Strigeidida; Schistosomatidae
Source: RNAcentral